GGUUAAGCGACUAAGCGUACACGGUGGAUGCCCUGGCAGUCAGAGGCGAUGAAGGGCGUGCUAAUCUGCGAUAAGCGCCGGUAAGGUGAUAUGAACCGUUAUAACCGGCGAUACCCGAAUGGGGAAACCCAGUGUGAUUCGUCACACUAUCAUUAACUGAAUCCAUAGGUUAAUGAGGCGAACCGGGGGAACUGAAACAUCUAAGUACCCCGAGGAAAAGAAAUCAACCGAGAUUCCCCCAGUAGCGGCGAGCGAACGGGGAGGAGCCCAGAGCCUGAAUCAGCAUGUGUGUUAGUGGAAGCGUCUGGAAAGGCGCGCGAUACAGGGUGACAGCCCCGUACACAAAAGCGCAUGUGCUGUGAGCUCGAUGAGUAGGGCGGGACACGUGGUAUCCUGUCUGAAUAUGGGGGGACCAUCCUCCAAGGCUAAAUACUCCUGACUGACCGAUAGUGAACCAGUACCGUGAGGGAAAGGCGAAAAGAACCCCGGCGAGGGGAGUGAAAAAGAACCUGAAACCGUGUACGUACAAGCAGUGGGAGCACAGGUUUACCUGUGUGACUGCGUACCUUUUGUAUAAUGGGUCAGCGACUUAUAUUCUGUAGCAAGGUUAACCGAAUAGGGGAGCCGGAGGGAAACCGAGUCUUAAUUGGGCGUUAAGUUGCAGGGUAUAGACCCGAAACCCGGUGAUCUAGCCAUGGGCAGGUUG
Molecule: ribosomal RNA, 706 nt
Filed under: Salmonella enterica subsp. enterica serovar Agona
Lineage: Bacteria; Pseudomonadati; Pseudomonadota; Gammaproteobacteria; Enterobacterales; Enterobacteriaceae
Description: partial 23S ribosomal RNA
Rfam family: Bacterial large subunit ribosomal RNA
Source: RNAcentral